RNAcentral lists this unclassified non-coding RNA (349 nucleotides) under soil metagenome. Its description in RNAcentral is "partial contains 5.8S ribosomal RNA, internal transcribed spacer 2, and large subunit ribosomal RNA". The stretch from base 1 to 120 matches the Rfam family "5.8S ribosomal RNA", at positions 35 to 154 of the family's 154-position model. The record is from RNAcentral.
GAUGAAGAACGUAGCGAAAUGCGAUACGUAAUGUGAAUUGCAGAAUUCAGUGAAUCAUCGAGUCUUUGAACGCACAUUGCGCCCCCUGGUAUUCCGGGGGGCAUGCCUGUCCGAGCGUCAUUGCUGCCCUCAAGCACGGCUUGUGUGUUGGGCCUCCGCCCCCCGGCUCCCGGGGGGCGGGCCCGAAAGGCAGCGGCGGCACCGCGUCCGGUCCUCGAGCGUAUGGGGCUUCGUCACCCGCUCCGUAGGCCCGGCCGGCGCCCGCCGGCGACCCCCCUCAAUCUUUCCAGGUUGACCUCGGAUCAGGUAGGGAUACCCGCUAAACUUAAGCAUAUCAAUAAGCGGAGGA